Molecule: long non-coding RNA, 1414 nt
Filed under: Fukomys damarensis (Damara mole-rat)
Lineage: Eukaryota; Metazoa; Chordata; Mammalia; Rodentia; Bathyergidae
Description: lncRNA (ENSFDAG00000024378.1)
Source: RNAcentral
AUGACCACACGAAGCCCGCUGCAUCUGAUGUUUGGGUGUGAGCCUGUGCACUGUGGCGAGCCCUGGGGUCCUUUUAAAACGCCCUCGCGCACUCCCCUGUGGUGUCUGGGGGCCCUCGUUGCCCGCGCCUGCGUGAAGCCAGCCGUGGGGGAGCCGGACUUCGCAGGCUUCCCUAAGCCAGGACCUGGAAGAAAUUGUGCAGAACCUUGCAGCAGGCUCUUGCUCCCCUCCUCCGUGACGCCCGCUCUUCUCUCCCCGGCCGUGUCAGCGGCUGCCCGUGUCCAGCUUUCCUACGGCUGCAGCCUGCGGGUCCCCACAGCCCCGAGGAUACCGGAGGCUGCAAACUCGACAACAGUGGGACUCCCUUCCCCUCCAAAAAGAACCUCUGCCGCCCAGAGACGCAGUGGCAGGUGCUGGCCAGGCUGCAGGGAAAGAGGAACUGCUGCACUGCUGGCGAGAACAGAAGCAGGCGCCCGCUGUGGGAAUCAGCCUGGGGACUCCUCAAGAAACUAAAAGUAGAAGCCCCGCUGGAGCCAGCACAGCUGUGUUCCUAGCAGCACAAUUGACGAUCGCUAAAUCUUGGAAGCAGCCUAGACUGUGUGACCAUCAACAGAUGAGUGGAUAAAAACACGCAGCAUUAACACACGGCGGAGUACUACCUCUUCCACGAAGAAGCACCCACUGGAGGCAUUUGUAGGAAAAGCAAUGCGCCUUGAGUCCAUAAUGUUAAAUAAAUCAGAUACACAGGUUUCUCUGAGAUGAGAAACCCAAAGCAUAAGCAAAUUGAAGGGCAAAAGAAAAGAUAGAUAACAGGAGACAGGGUGAGAGACCUUUCAUAAAUAGGAAGGGGCCCCAGAGAUGGAAGAAAAGGCGGGGAAAGGGAAUAAACAGACACGGGCCCGCUGUGCACACAGUGAAUGCGAUCAUUGUGUGCUGCAAAUAUCACUAAUAAAAAUAUAAAUAUUUGCCAACAAAGGUAAGCGGCACCAGAAGCCCUUGCUCCCUCUUACGUAGGGCAGUGGACACCGAGGAGAGCCCCGUCCAGGACGAGCCGGGCCCUUCCCUCAGAUUCUGCUGUGCUCCUGGGUCUCUCGCUCGGUUCCACAAUGGCCAGCAAGGGAGUUGGCAGCCCAGGGACCGCUCCUCUCAGCCCGCUCGGCCCCCCACACUGGGAAGCUGAGGCAGGAGAAUCACAGUUCAAGCCCAGCCUGGGCCAUUUAGCAAGAGCCCGCCUGAACAGAACAAAAAGGCUGAGACACUGCUCAGCAGGAAGGCCUUGGGUUCAAUCCCCGGUGCUGAAAAAACGAAACAAAAGACCCCAGUCAUGAGCUGCGGCCUUAGCUCAAGAGCAUUGCAUGCGCCCAGCCAGCCCCAGCCAGGCCUGGUUCCAACCCCAGCUCCAGAGGAAGGCAGA